Listeriaceae bacterium FSL A5-0209 is the source of this 111-nucleotide non-coding RNA. Lineage: Bacteria; Bacillati; Bacillota; Bacilli; Caryophanales; Listeriaceae. The record is from Rfam.
UCCUUAUUAAGAGUUGGGGGAGGAACCUGGUCCUUUGAUCCCACAGCAACCUCUAGUGAUAGAACGGUGCUCAUUCCAGCAGGCGAGCGUUUCUGGCCUGGCAAAUAGGGA